GAAUUACGUAUGGAAAUUGCAAAACAAGAAUUAAUCGCUCAUGCCCGGGAAGCAGCAUCCAGGGUCCUGAGUGCACUGAGUGACCGGCAGAUGUCAGAACGGAUGGCCUUGGAUGCCCGGAAGCGUGAGCAGUUUCAGAGGCUGAAAGAACAAUUUGUGAAGGACCAGGAGGUGGGUAGGACCUGUCCCUGCGGGGUCACGCCUGUCAGUUCUGAUUUCACAGGCCAGGCUCUAUGUGUUUUAUAGCGACGCCAGGCGGCCAGGCAGGAGGAGCUGGAUGAUGACUUCAGCUACGCCCGUGAACUCCGAGACAGGGAGAGGAGGCUGAAGUCCCUGGAGGAGGAGCUGGAGAGGAAGGCGAGGCACUGGUCGACCACUACAGCAAGCUCUCUGCAGAGGCAGCUCGUCGGGAGCAGAAGGCACUGUGGAGAAUCCAGAGGCACCGACUGGAGAGUGCACGGCUUCGUUUUCUCUUAGAAGAUGAGAAACACAUUCAGGAGAUGCUGAAAGCAGUGUCUGAGGCUCACCAGCCCCAGGAGCCGCCAGACGUCCUCUUGAGCGUGCACCCCCAGGUCACGUCUCCAGGCCCUGAGCACCCAGAGGGAGGCCAAGGCUGUGAUUCUGGGUCUGCAGAGCAACACUCGCCUGCCUGGGAUGGCCGGAACAGGCCAGGCCUGCUGACCCCAC
This 687-nucleotide small RNA is filed under the name Pan troglodytes (chimpanzee). RNAcentral's name for it is "processed transcript". The record is from RNAcentral. Lineage: Eukaryota; Metazoa; Chordata; Mammalia; Primates; Hominidae.